RNAcentral lists this ribosomal RNA (506 nucleotides) under uncultured bacterium. RNAcentral describes it as "partial 16S ribosomal RNA". It matches the Rfam family "Bacterial small subunit ribosomal RNA", at positions 29 to 523 of the family's 1533-position model. The record is from RNAcentral.
AGUGAACGCUGGCGGUAGGCCUAACACAUGCAAGUCGAACGGCAGCACAGGAGAGCUUGCUCUCUGGGUGGCGAGUGGCGGGCGGGUGAGGAAUACAUCGGAAUCUACUUUUUCGUGGGGGAUAACGGAGGGAAACUUACGCUAAUACCGCAUACGACCUACGGGUGAAAGCAGGGGACCUUCGGGCCUUGCGCGAUUGAAUGAGCCGAUGUCGGAUUAGCUAGUUGGCGGGGUAAAGGCCCACCAAGGCGACGAUCCGUAGCUGGUCUGAGAGGAUGUUCAGCCACACUGGAACUGAGACACGGUCCAGACUCCUACGGGAGGCAGCAGUGGGGAAUAUUGGACAAUGGGCGCAAGCCUGAUCCAGCCAUACCGCGUGGGUGAAGAAGGCCUUCGGGUUGUAAAGCCCUUUUGUUGGGAAAGAAAUCCAGCUGGCUAAUACCCGGUUGGGAUGACGGUACCCAAAGAAUAAGCACCGGCUAACUUCGUGCCAGCCGCCGCAGUAA